CAUCAUUUCUUCUGUAACUGACAGGAAGAAGAGCAAGUCUGUUGUUGCAGUAGGAGCUGAAUUUCUAUUCGAUGUUCUACACAAAGAACCUCUUUAUCCUGAUGUGGAUUUGGAAGAUGUUCCUCUUGGUGCCACUGGCUUCAAUCUUCUUUCAGCAAGCAACAGGGAAAUAUCAAACUCAUGAAAAACAUGGCAUAUUUCAACUCAGGGCUGUGAGAAGCAAAAUGCUGCACUAUAAAGAAGCCCUGCUGAGAAAAAGCAUCCUAGAGACUCGUUCAGCUAUAUCUUACAAGGGGAAACAAGCAUCUCUACUUCUGUAUUAAACUUUCUGCAUUUGGAGACCUGAAAAUAUGCAGCCAAGAUGAAACUGCU
RNAcentral lists this long non-coding RNA (372 nucleotides) under Gallus gallus (chicken). The record is from RNAcentral. Lineage: Eukaryota; Metazoa; Chordata; Aves; Galliformes; Phasianidae.